RNAcentral lists this non-coding RNA (24 nucleotides) under Drosophila melanogaster (fruit fly). Lineage: Eukaryota; Metazoa; Arthropoda; Insecta; Diptera; Drosophilidae. The record is from RNAcentral. RNAcentral also lists the same sequence under 8 other names.
UAAAAUUGGAACGAUACAGAGAAG